GACGAACGCUGGCGGCGUGCCUAAUACAUGCAAGUUGAGCGCUGAAGGUUGGUACUUGUACCAACUGGAUGAGCAGCGAACGGGUGAGUAACGCGUGGGGAAUCUGCCUUUGAGCGGGGGACAACAUUUGGAAACGAAUGCUAAUACCGCAUAAAAACUUUAAACACAAGUUUUAAGUUUGAAAGAUGCAAUUGCAUCACUCAAAGAUGAUCCCGCGUUGUAUUAGCUAGUUGGUGAGGUAAAGGCUCACCAAGGCGAUGAUACAUAGCCGACCUGAGAGGGGGAUCGGCCACAUUGGGACGGGGACACGGCCCAAACGACUACGGGAGGCAGCAGUAGGGAAUCUUCGGCAAUGGACGAAAGUCUGACCGAGCAACGCCGCGUGAGUGAAGAAGGUUCUCGGAUCGUAAAAAUCGGUUGGUAGAGAAGAACGUUGGUGAGAGUGGAAAGCGCAUCAAGUGACGGUAACUACACAGAAAGGGACGGCUAACUACGUG
Molecule: ribosomal RNA, 497 nt
Filed under: uncultured bacterium
Lineage: Bacteria
Description: partial 16S ribosomal RNA
Rfam family: Bacterial small subunit ribosomal RNA
Source: RNAcentral